GACGAACGCUGGCGGCGUGCUUAACACAUGCAAGUCGAACGGAAAGGCCCCUUUGGGGGUACUCGAGUGGCGAACGGGUGAGUAACACGUGAGUAACCUGCCCUUGACUUCGGGAUAACUUCAGGAAACUGGGGCUAAUACCGGAUAGGAAUCCUUGCUGCAUGGUGGGGGUUGGAAAGCUUCGGCGGUUUUGGAUGGACUCGCGGCUUAUCAGCUUGUUGGUGGGGUAGUGGCUUACCAAGGCUUUGACGGGUAGCCGGCCUGAGAGGGCGACCGGCCACAGUGGGACUGAGAUACGGCCCAGACUCCUACGGGAGGCAGCAGUGGGGAAUAUUGCACAAUGGGCGGAAGCCUGAUGCAGCAACGCCGCGGGCGGGAGGACGGCCUUCGGGUUGUAAACCGCUUUCAGCAGGGGCGAAGCUUGUGGUGACGGUACCUGCAGAAGAAGCACCGGCUAACUACGUG
Molecule: ribosomal RNA, 465 nt
Filed under: uncultured bacterium
Lineage: Bacteria
Description: partial 16S ribosomal RNA
Rfam family: Bacterial small subunit ribosomal RNA
Source: RNAcentral